GUGCAGUCAAUUAAGUCAAUGAUGAUUUUUCCCCCUGUGGGACCCUGUGCAAUGGCUACAGAAGGCAAGCAGCCUCUGUGGUUGUGUAGCGGCCUGUGGCCUGUGUGGGCUCUUCUAAAAGACCUUGGAGAAGGUC
This is a small nucleolar RNA of Suncus etruscus (white-toothed pygmy shrew), 136 nucleotides long. RefSeq annotates it as small nucleolar RNA SNORA70. The transcript has a single exon. Lineage: Eukaryota; Metazoa; Chordata; Mammalia; Eulipotyphla; Soricidae. The record is from RefSeq and is a predicted model, not a curated record.